Molecule: non-coding RNA, 810 nt
Filed under: Anoplotermes group sp. N TB-2017
Lineage: Eukaryota; Metazoa; Arthropoda; Insecta; Blattodea; Termitidae
Source: RNAcentral
GUUAAGUUUUAUUCUUGCUUUUUCAUUCAAUUUUUGUUUGUUUUAUAUGUAAGGGUUUGCGUGAGUUUUCUUUAUUUCUCUAGAUGGGUUUAAAGGCGUGUCUUUUAUUUAUUCUCAUUAGUUGUUAUUGGUUGGUCAAGUAUUCUUGUAUUUAGCAAUUCAUUUUAGUUUCGGUUAAAUUUUGUGCCAGCAGCCGCGGUUAUACCUUGGAAGCAUUUGAAUGGGUUCGGUGUUGUAGUUAUUAUGUUUAUUAGUUGAUUUUGUUUCAUUGGGUUUAUUAGGUGAAAUUUUUAUUUUUGUUGUGUGUCGUUUGCUUGUUUGGAGGCUAUGAAAUUCCUUUUAUAGACUAGGAUUAGAUACCCUAUUAUUUUGGAAUGUUAAUUUUUGUGCCUGAGUAGUAUUAGUUAUGUUCUUGAAACUUAAAGAAUUUGGCGGUAUCUUAUUCCAUCCAGAGGAAUCUGUCCCGUUAUCGAUAGUCCGCGCUGGACCUUACUUAGUUGCUUUGGUUUGUAUACCGCCGUUUAUUGAUUAUCUUUUUAGAGUUUUAAUUUUCUGGUUUCUUUAUUUUGAUUUAUUUCAGGUCAAGGUGCAGCUUGUUUCUAAGUGGUGUGAUGGAUUACAUUGUUAUUUGUUUAUUUGGAUUGUUGGUUUUGAUAUUGGCAUGAAAUUGGAUUUGGUUGUAAUGUUUUGUAGAUUGUUUUCAUGAUAAUUGGUUCUGGGAUAUGUACACAUCGCCCGUCGCUCUCGUUUAUUUGUUAAUGAGAUAAGUCGUAACAAAGUGGUUGUACCGGAAGGUGCGGCUGGAUUGAU